This 150-nucleotide ribosomal RNA is filed under the name uncultured bacterium. RNAcentral's name for it is "partial 16S ribosomal RNA". It matches the Rfam family "Bacterial small subunit ribosomal RNA", at positions 354 to 500 of the family's 1533-position model. The record is from RNAcentral.
CCUGGGGAUCUUGGAAUGGGCGAAAGCCUGAUCCAGCCAUGCCGCGUGAGUGAUGAAGGCCUUCGGGUUGUAAAGCUGUUUUUAUUGGGAAGAAAAUGAUUUUACCUGUACAAUAUUGUCUGGACCGAUCGUGAGGGAAGCCUGCUCUGA